This 162-nucleotide ribosomal RNA is filed under the name Aeschynanthus austroyunnanensis. RNAcentral describes it as "5.8S ribosomal RNA". It matches the Rfam family "5.8S ribosomal RNA". From Rfam's summary of the family: 5.8S ribosomal RNA (5.8S rRNA) is a component of the large subunit of the eukaryotic ribosome. RNAcentral also lists the same sequence under 1 other name. The record is from RNAcentral. Lineage: Eukaryota; Viridiplantae; Streptophyta; Magnoliopsida; Lamiales; Gesneriaceae.
AACGACUCUCGGCAACGGAUAUCUCGGCUCUCGCAUCGAUGAAGAACGUAGCGAAAUGCGAUACUUGGUGUGAAUUGCAGAAUCCCGUGAACCAUCGAGUCUUUGAACGCAAGUUGCGCCCGAAGCCAUCAGGUUGAGGGCACGUCUGCCUGGGCGUCACGC